GACGAACGCUGGCGGCGUGCUUAACACAUGCAAGUCGAACGGAAAGGCCCUGCUUUUGUGGGGUGCUCGAGUGGCGAACGGGUGAGUAACACGUGAGUAACCUGCCCUUGACUUUGGGAUAACUUCAGGAGACUGGGGCUAAUACCGGAUAGGAGCUCCUGCUGCAUGGUGGGGGUUGGAAAGUUUCGGCGGUUGGGGAUGGACUCGCGGCUAAUCAGCUUGUUGGUGGGGUAGUGGCUUACCAAGGCUUUGACGGAUAGCCGGCCUGGGAGGGGGAACGGCGUCAAGACGACUGAGAGACGGAGCAGACGGCAAUGGGAGGCAGUAGGGGAGAGUAUGACACAGUGAGCGGAAGCGUGUUGCGGAGGUGUCGCGAGCGGAAUGACGUCCUUCGGGUGAUGAACCGCUGUCGCCUGUGACGAAGCGGGAGUGACGGUAAUGGGUAAAGAAGCACCGGCUAACUACGUG
Molecule: ribosomal RNA, 468 nt
Filed under: uncultured bacterium
Lineage: Bacteria
Description: partial 16S ribosomal RNA
Rfam family: Bacterial small subunit ribosomal RNA
Source: RNAcentral